Molecule: ribosomal RNA, 400 nt
Filed under: uncultured bacterium
Lineage: Bacteria
Description: bacterial SSU rRNA
Rfam family: Bacterial small subunit ribosomal RNA
Source: RNAcentral
UAAGGAAUAUUGGUCAAUGGACGGAAGUCUGAACCAGCCAUGCCGCGUGGAGGAUGAAGGCGUUAUGCGUUGUAAACUUCUUUUAUAUGGGGCGAAAAAAGGUCUUUUUAGAUCGUCUGACGGUACCAUAUGAAUAAGCACCGGCUAACUCCGUGCCAGCAGCCGCGGUAAUACGGAGGGUGCGAGCGUUAUCCGGAUUUACUGGGUUUAAAGGGAGCGCAGGCGGGUCUGUAAGUCAGUGGUGAAAGCCCUCAGCUUAACUGAGGAACUGCCAUUGAUACUAUAGGUCUUGAAUAUUGUUGAGGUAUGCGGAAUAGGUCAUGUAGCGGUGAAAUGCAUAGAUAUGACCUGGAACACCUAUUGCGAAGGCAGCAUACUAAGCGAUUAUUGACGCUGAGGC